GCGGAAGUGGCGGAAUUGGCAGACGCGUCAGGUUGAGGGCCUGGUGAGGGCAACCUCGUGGGGGUUCGAGUCCCCCCUUCCGCA
This 84-nucleotide transfer RNA is filed under the name Bacillota bacterium. Its description in RNAcentral is "tRNA-Leu". It matches the Rfam family "tRNA". From Rfam's summary of the family: Transfer RNA (tRNA) molecules are approximately 80 nucleotides in length. Their secondary structure includes four short double-helical elements and three loops (D, anti-codon, and T loops). Lineage: Bacteria; Bacillati; Bacillota. The record is from RNAcentral.